AAAUUUCUCAACCUUAAAACAAGAUGCUGGCCUAGGGCUAGGAGAGGACUUCUUAGCUGAAGCUCCUGCUUCUCUGGACAACUUUCCUCUUCCUUCUUGCAAAUGCUUUGCAGAGGGACUUGCACCUCUGCUGCUGGACCUGGUCAGGAGCAAGAGGAAAUUUAAAACAUUCCUCGGGAGUGCUUGCUCCCAGUGGAUUGCAUUUGAUUGCCCCUUGUCCUUUGUUGCUUUCUUUUUGUGUUGUUUAAUUCUGCUUCUUUUUUACUGCUAUGGAUAUUGCAGAUAUGUGUGAAAUUUUACUCUAUUAGGUCAUCACCUUUAGUAAAUAUUUAUCCUUGCAUAAUUUGAGUUGGUAGACAUGUUUGUUUUGUAAUAUUCCCCUUAGUAAUAUGAGAUAGAAGUACAUUGGUAAUGGUAGAGAUAGAUAUUUCUAAUUAGGUACUAAUGUUUCUUACAGUUUUCAGAAUAAGUAAGGAAUAAUUUUUAUGCCGUAUAUUGCCUUCCUUUUACAGUGAAGAAGAACUGUUGUAUCUGAGUUUCAUUGAAGAUGUAACAGAUGAAAUUUUGAAACUUGGUUUAUUUUCAAACAGGUUUUUAGAACGACUGUUCGAGCGACAUAUAAAACAAAAUAAACACUUGGAGGAGGAAAAAAUGCGCCACCUGCUGCAUGUCCUGAAACUAGACUUAGGCUGCACAUCGGAGGAAAACUUGGUAAAGCAAAAUGAUGUUGAUAUGUUGAAUGUAUUUGAUUUUGAAAAGGCUGGGAAUUCAGAACCAAAUGAAUUAAAAAACGAAAGUGGAGUAACAAUUCAGCAGGAACGUCAACAAUACCAAAAGUCUUUGGAUGUGUUAUUGUCAGCACCAGAGGAUGAGAACGAGAUAUUC
Molecule: small RNA, 885 nt
Filed under: Pongo abelii (Sumatran orangutan)
Lineage: Eukaryota; Metazoa; Chordata; Mammalia; Primates; Hominidae
Description: retained intron
Source: RNAcentral